CUCUGAUCUCGGGUAUCUCGCUACAUUAAAUGGGGAUGUGGACCCCUGCCCUGCAGGGCCGCUGGGCAGAGUUGGGAAGUUCUGGGCGAAUGGCCGCUGGCACACAGGGGCUCGAAAUGUGUGCCCCCUCCCCACUCCACUGAGUUCUGCCCGCCUUUGGCCUCCCUCCUGGGCCGGCGGCUCUGUGGAGUCCACCCUCCGGGCCCCGCCGCCCACUGGGUGUUGAUUCACCCCGGCCACGAGCCUCUUGCCUCGGCCUGUGCUCUCUUCCUCCUUUUCUUGGUGGGCCCACUGCCUUCUCCGAUUGCCAAAGCUCCUCCCAGGGACGGGCGGGCGGCGGGGGGACCCCAUCCUCCCACAGAAUGUCUCCACCGCUUCCCCAUCCUCCCACCCUCACCACGCCCGGCUGAGGUCACCAGCGCGAGGCCUGGUCCAGGGACACGGGUCACAGUUGGUCCACUUAAUCAUCAUGGGGCAGGUAGGGCCCUGGCUGGUCCAGGGUCCCCCGCGGGGGCCAGGCUGGUGGAGGGGGUGGCCGCCAAAGGAUGAAUUCUGGGACAAAUGGUGCUCCGGCCCAUGGCAAGCGCGUGCACGGUGGAUGGCUGAGGGCGCGUGCAUUGAUGGCGGGGGCCGGGGGGAGGCAUCUUGGGGAAGGCUUCCUGGAGGAGGCGAGUCAGGAGCCAGGGGUGCAGAGGGGAGAUGAAGGGCGUGGGCACUGGGCCAGCUUGCCUGGGCUCGAGUCUCAGCUCGCCCCUUUCCCGCUGUGUGGCCCCGAUCAAGUUCACAUCUCUCUCUGAGCCUCGGUUUCCUCGUUUGGAAAAUGAGAAAAUGAUCGUAACACCCCUUGCAGAGGGUGGUGUGGAGGAAGUGAGACGAUGUAGACAAGGUGUCGGGAGCAGGCCGGGCACACAGCUAGCGCUUAAUACAGGUCAGCUGCUCUUCUUACUCUUACUAUCAGUGUGGUGGAAAGUUCUAGAAUGUCAGCUUCAGACAGGCCUGGGUGCAGGUCUCAGUUUUCCUCGCCUCUGGGUCCUCGAGGCCCUCCCUCUCCGCGCCCCAGCUUUCCUCACCUGGGAAUGGAGCUGUUUUGACCUCAUGGGGUUCAUUGUGAGCAUGAGGCGGGUGAAUCCUGUAAAUGCUCAGCACAGUGCCUGGCACACAGUAGGUGCUCAAGAAGUGGUUGGCGUCCCCCCGGCCUUGUGGCCUUGUGAGUAAGAGCAGGUUGGAGUGUCAGCCCGGUGCAUCCCAGCUCUGCCUGCCCAGCUUGCCGUGGGCCUUGGGGCCGUGGGCGGAAAGUGCCGGUCCUGGUGCCUGGCACAUAGUAGGUGCGUGGUCGGUGGGACUAAACUCGGGACCUUGUGUCCCCGAUGACGGUGUGAGGCCCCCCUGGUGACUUCCUUCCCUGUGAGGUGGGGUGGUGCUCCCACUGUUGCGGCGAGGAAGCUGAGGCUCGGAGAGGUGAGGUCGCCAGCUGGAGGCCGGGCCCUCCAUCUGCUUGGCUCCCGAGCCUACCUCUCUGUCAGGGGGUCCCUGGGUGUGCGCCCUGCUGGGGGACGUCCCGCUGGGCCCUCAGGGCCACCGUGCAUGCUGACAGAAGCUUUCUAGGGUUAAGGAGAGGAGUGACAGCCGCCACUCGGCACAGGGUCCCGGGGUCCACAGGCCGUUCCCAGGGCCCCUGUCCCGGGCUGGGGACAGGAGUGGCUCUGUGGAUAUGGCGCUGGCUCGGGGUCUUGGGGCAGCGGGCAGCGCCCCCAGGCCCGGCCGGGUCUGUCUCCUCCCCGACCCGGCCCCAGGGCACUAUGCUGUUUCUCGUUUGUCACUAUCCAGCCCUUUGGGCCAUGUUUUCUGUCCAGAGUCUGGAUCUCCUCCGGGCGUCUGAGAACGCCCUGCUCUGUGCGCAGAUUCCACGUCCCACCAAGGGCCGCCCUCCGCCAAACUCCGCACGCGGGCUCAUCCCUGCUCCCGCGCCUGUGCGUCUGUCGCUCCUUCUGUUGUUCUCUCUCCGUCUCACAGUUCAACUCAACUCAGUUCCUGCAUCUCGACUGCACUCAUCUUGGUCCCGUUAACUCGGUUUACCUCCGCUCUACGCACCUCAGUUCAGUUUAAAACUCAACUCAGCGUGAUUUAACCCAAGUCAACCCAACUCAGCUCAACUUAACUCACUUCAACGCAGUUCAACCGAGUUCACUCCACCCCAGCUCGCCUCAAGCCCCCUCUUCGACUCAUCCCAAGCUGGUCCCGCUCAGUCUCGGGCUCUUUUAGCUCGGCUCCCUGUCGUCUCAACUCAGCUUCACUCCUCUCGGCCUGGUUUAGCUCCACUCGUCUCGACGUGACGCCACCACCUCAACUCGCCCGACACACUCGCUGUAUCCGCUGCCUCCCUGCCCAGACACCCUCUUGUCUUCAGGAGAGAGAUGCUCAGACCUCGUUCCUUCCCCUGCGUGCUCCCAGCCUAGCCGGGGACUCUGACAUGUCCCUUCAGCAGGUGCUGUGACGGGGAAGUGAGCCAUGUCUGGCCGCCCUAGGGAGCCCCGGAUGAUCCCCCACAGGAGGAGGAGUUAGCUCAGGCAGAAUAGUGGGAGGAAGGACACUCUGGGCAAAAGGAGCAGCAUGUGCAAAGGGCCUGAGGCAGGGUGGACGGAACGCUUGGAGGCCUGGAGGUCGUUCAGGCUGGAGGGCAGAGGGGGAAGGGAGGGUGGUGCAAGAGGAGGCUGGGGAUGUGCGCAGUCCCCUUGUGGGGACUGUGUUCUGGGGACAGUGGGGAGCUGCGGCCGUGUGGAGCAGAGGAGAAAUGUGAUUGGAAGGAUCCCUCUGGUUGCAGGGAGGAAGUGGAGCCGAGAGGCGGGACUGGACUUGUCGGGCAGCACUGAGCUGAGAGGUCCAGCACUAGGGUGUCUGUGGGGGGCAGCCGGCGGGGGGAGCUUAAAGAAGGAAUUCAGGAAAUGAGUCAGAAAGAACGACCACUCUACCGGGCCUUCUCUCCUUGCCUUGCACAUGGGAACCGAGUUCAUUCUCAUAGCACUCACGAGGGAGGUCUUACUAUUAACCCUAUUUUACAGAUGGGGAAACUGAGGCUCAGAUAGGCCAAGACAUGUGCGCAAGGCACACAGCUCCUAAGGGGCAGAGCUGGGAUCUGGCUCAGGCAUCGCUGCUCCGGAGCCCGCAGGAGCGGCUGGGCGUCCCCUCCAAGCUCCCAGGGUGGUGCUCCCUGCGGGUCUCUGCACCACACGGCAGGCGCUUGGGGAGUUCCUGCUCUGCCAGUUGCUGGGGAUUCAAAUCAUCAUCCCCGUUGGAGUUGGGAGUGCCUGUCCCCUUCAGAGGGAGACUGUUCUCUUGUCAUUUCACAGGAGAGGAAACUGAGGCCCAGCAUCACCCCUAGCAAGGGCUGGGGCUGGGGUUGGAGGCUCAGGUGGGAAACUGCUCUACAAACAGCAAAGUCAUCCUCCCUAGGACCUUCGGCCACUUGGACUUUGAAUCAGCCCACCUGUGGGCAUCGAGCAGGCCCUGCAAACGUGCUGGGGAGAUGCUCCACCCUUUUUCCCCCCGGUGCUCAGUUCUCCCAUGGCUGCCUGCUGUCCCGAGGAUGCACUUGGGGCUCCUCGCUGCAUCCCCAGAGGCUCUGCGUGAUCCCCA
RNAcentral lists this long non-coding RNA (3633 nucleotides) under Equus asinus (donkey). RNAcentral describes it as "lncRNA (ENSEASG00005027912.1)". The record is from RNAcentral. Lineage: Eukaryota; Metazoa; Chordata; Mammalia; Perissodactyla; Equidae.